Molecule: ribosomal RNA, 514 nt
Filed under: uncultured bacterium
Lineage: Bacteria
Description: partial 16S ribosomal RNA
Rfam family: Bacterial small subunit ribosomal RNA
Source: RNAcentral
GAUGAACGCUGGCGGCGUGCCUAAUACGUGCAAGUCGAGCGAACAGAUGAGAAGCUUGCUUCUCUGAUGUUAGCGGCGGACGGGUGAGUAACGCGUGGGUAACCUACCUAUAAGACUGGGAUAACUCCGGGAAACCGGGGCUAAUACCGGAUCAUAUUUUGAACCGCAUGGUUCAAUAGUGAAAGACGGUUUCGGCUGUCACUUAUAGAUGGACCCGCGCCGUAUUAGCUAGUUGGUAAGGUAACGGCUUACCAAGGCGACGAUACGUAGCCGACCUGAGAGGGUGAUCGGCCACACCGGAACUGAGACACGGUCCAGACUCCUACGGGAGGCAGCAGUAGGGAAUCUUCCGCAAUGGGCGAAAGCCUGACGGAGCAACGCCGCGUGAGUGAUGAAGGUCUUCGGAUCGUAAAACUCUGUUGUUAGGGAAGAACAAAUUUGUUAGUAACUGAACAAGUCUUGACGGUACCUAACCAGAAAGCCACGGCUAACUACGUGCCAGCAGCCGCUGUAA